Molecule: ribosomal RNA, 475 nt
Filed under: uncultured bacterium
Lineage: Bacteria
Description: bacterial SSU rRNA
Rfam family: Bacterial small subunit ribosomal RNA
Source: RNAcentral
AACGCUAGCGGCAGGCCUAACACAUGCAAGUCGAGGGGUAGAGUUCUUCGGGACUUGAGACCGGCGCACGGGUGCGUAACGCGUAUACAAUCUACCUUUUACAGAGGGAUAGCCCAGAGUAAAUUUGGAUUAAUACCUCAUAGUAUUUUUGAAUCGCAUGAUUUGAUUAUUAAAGUUCCAACGGUAAAAAGAUGAGUAUGCGUCCCAUUAGCUAGAUGGUAAGGUAACGGCUUACCAUGGCAAUGAUGGGUAGGGGUCCUGAGAGGGAGAUCCCCCACACUGGGACUGAGACACGGCCCAGACUCCUACGGGAGGCAGCAGUGAGGAAUAUUGGACAAUGGGCGCAAGCCUGAUCCAGCCAUGCCGCGUGCAGGAAGACGGUCCUAUGGAUUGUAAACUGCUUUAUACAGGAAGAAACACUCCCUCGUGAGGGAACUUGACGGUACUGUAUGAAUAAGCAUCGGCUAACUCCGUG